RNAcentral lists this ribosomal RNA (393 nucleotides) under uncultured soil bacterium. Its description in RNAcentral is "bacterial SSU rRNA". It matches the Rfam family "Bacterial small subunit ribosomal RNA", at positions 26 to 417 of the family's 1533-position model. The record is from RNAcentral.
AGGACGAACGCUGGCGGCGUGCUUAACACAUGCGAGUCGAGCGAGGCCCGCCUUUCGGGGUGGUGUCCUAGCGGCGAACGGGUGAGUAACACGUGGGCAACCUGCCCCUGGCUCUGGGAUAACUCCAAGAAAUUGGGGCUAAUACCGGAUAUGACCGCUGACCGCAUGGUCUGGUGGUGGAAAGAUUUAUCGGCUGGGGAUGGGCCCGCGGCCUAUCAGCUUGUUGGUGGGGUAGUGGCCCACCAAGGCGACGACGGGUAGCCGGCCUGAGAGGGUGACCGGCCACACUGGGACUGAGACACGGCCCAGACUCCUACGGGAGGCAGCAGUGGGGAAUAUUGCGCAAUGGGCGGAAGGCCUGACGCAGCGACGCCGCGUGGGGGAUGACGGCCU